GCUCCGAUCGUCUAGCUCGGUCAAGGACGCAGGACUCUCAAUCCUGCAACUCGGGUUCAAAUCCCGAUCGGAGCA
This 75-nucleotide transfer RNA is filed under the name Microcaldota archaeon. Its description in RNAcentral is "tRNA-Glu". It matches the Rfam family "tRNA". From Rfam's summary of the family: Transfer RNA (tRNA) molecules are approximately 80 nucleotides in length. Their secondary structure includes four short double-helical elements and three loops (D, anti-codon, and T loops). The record is from RNAcentral. Lineage: Archaea; Nanobdellati; Microcaldota.